RNAcentral lists this ribosomal RNA (957 nucleotides) under Triticum aestivum (bread wheat). Its description in RNAcentral is "partial small subunit ribosomal RNA". The record is from RNAcentral. Lineage: Eukaryota; Viridiplantae; Streptophyta; Magnoliopsida; Poales; Poaceae.
ACUUGUGCAACCCACUUCACCUCACUCUCAGUCCCAGUACACUCCACAGUCCACACUAGCAAAGCGGUAGGAAGAGUAGCCAUGGCUCCGAAGCGCCGCGGCAGCAAGGUGGUGAGCUCCGUCGUCAAGACCAAGGUGGUGGAGGAGACCGUGGAGGUCGCCACCACCAUCCUCCCCGCCUCCCAGUCCCAGCCCGACUCCGCCGACCUGCAGCCGGAGGUCGUCGACGUCUCCCGCUCCCGCGACGUGCACGUCGAGGUCGUCACCACCCCGGAUGCCCAGCCCACCGCCGGCGCCAAGAAGCAGCCCGCCUCCAAGAGGGGCGCCGCCAACGCCAAGUCGCCGGCCGCGCCGCUGGUGGUGGUGCCGGUCUCGCCGGAAGAGGAGCAGCAGCGCAAGAAAGGCGGCAGCAAGACGCCGGCGUCGCUGCAGAGCCAGGAGACGCAGGAGGAGCCCUACGCGUACCAGGGCGACGAGACCACCAAGAAGAGGCCGCAGGAGGAGCAGGACGGCGCUGAGCCUAACAAGCCGGAGGGCCCCGAGACGCCGACGCAGAAGAGGUCCAGGGGCGAGGGCAAGGCCAAGACGCGCAAGGCGGAGGCCGCAGCAAGGAAGAAGCUGUCCGCGGCGGCGGGGAAGAAGGGCGGGCGGCGUCGGCGUCGGCUGGGAGGGAACACGGUGGACAUGGGGUACAAGGCGUACGUGUACCGGGUGCUGAAGCAGGUGCACCCGGACCUGGGCGCGUCGGGGAAGACGAUGCAGGCGCUGGACAUGAUGAUGGCGGACAUGUUCGAGCGGCUGGCCACGGAGGCGUCGCGGCUGACGCAGUACGCGGGGCGCGCCACGCUCACCUCCCGCGACGUGCAGAACGCGGUGCGCCUGGUGCUCCCCGGCGAGCUCGCCAAGCACGCCAUCUCCGAGGGCACCAAGGCCGUCACCAUGUACACGUCCUCCUGA